This 21-nucleotide non-coding RNA is filed under the name Caenorhabditis elegans. The record is from RNAcentral. Lineage: Eukaryota; Metazoa; Nematoda; Chromadorea; Rhabditida; Rhabditidae.
UUGUUUUCCAUAGCGAUGAAA